This 255-nucleotide ribosomal RNA is filed under the name uncultured bacterium. RNAcentral's name for it is "partial 16S ribosomal RNA". It matches the Rfam family "Bacterial small subunit ribosomal RNA", at positions 524 to 776 of the family's 1533-position model. The record is from RNAcentral.
UACGUAGGGGGGCAAGCGUUGUCCGGAAUCAUUGGGCGUAAAGAGCGUGUAGGCGGCCCGAUAAGUCCGCUGUGAAAGUCCAGGGCUCAACCCUGGGAUGCCGGUGGAUACUGUCGGGCUCGAGUCCGGAAGAGGAGUGUGGAAUUCCUGGUGUAGCGGUGAAAUGCGCAGAUAUCAGGAGGAACACCAAUGGCGAAGGCAGCACUCUGGGACGUGACUGACGCUGAGACGCGAAAGCGUGGGGGAGCAAACAGG